This 255-nucleotide ribosomal RNA is filed under the name uncultured bacterium. RNAcentral describes it as "partial 16S ribosomal RNA". It matches the Rfam family "Bacterial small subunit ribosomal RNA", at positions 524 to 776 of the family's 1533-position model. The record is from RNAcentral.
UACGUAGGGUGCAAGCGUUAAUCGGAAUUACUGGGCGUAAAGCGUGCGCAGGCGGUUUUGUAAGUUUGUCGUGAAAGCCCCGGGCUCAACCUGGGAAUUGCGAUGAAGACUGCAAGGCUUGAAUCUGGCAGAGGGGGGUAGAAUUCCACGUGUAGCAGUGAAAUGCGUAGAGAUGUGGAGGAACACCGAUGGCGAAGGCAGCCCCCUGGGUCAAGAUUGACGCUCAUGCACGAAAGCGUGGGGGGAGCAAACAGG